RNAcentral lists this unclassified non-coding RNA (629 nucleotides) under Hydrangea fauriei. RNAcentral's name for it is "sequence contains ITS1, 5.8S rRNA gene, ITS2". The stretch from base 215 to 370 matches the Rfam family "5.8S ribosomal RNA". The record is from RNAcentral. Lineage: Eukaryota; Viridiplantae; Streptophyta; Magnoliopsida; Cornales; Hydrangeaceae.
AACCUGCAACAGAACGGCCGGCGAGCUAGUGAAAUCCUGACCUUGAGGCGCCCCGCGCGCCUCAAUGCCCGGACGCGCCCGUAAGGGGCGCGAUCUCGGCGCAAAAUAACGAACCCCGGCACGGGCCGUGCCAAGGAAAAUCAAUGAAGACAGAGUCCCUUGCCGCCCCGUCCUGCGGGUGCGUGCUCGGGACGGAGCUUCUUUCACAGAACACGACUCUCGGCAACGGAUAUCUCGGCUCUCGCAUCGAUGAAGAACGUAGCGAAAUGCGAUACUUGGUGUGAAUUGCAGAAUCCCGUGAACCAUCGAGUCUUUGAACGCAAGUUGCGCUUGAAGCCAUUAGGCUGAAGGCACGUCUGCCUGGGCGUCUCGCAACGCGUCGCCCCCAGCCCUCCUUCUCUCUUCGUCGGGCGUCGGAGGAUGAUUUGGGGCAGAUGAUGGCCUCCUGUGCACGAAAGCGCGCAGUUGGCAUAAAAGCAGAGUUCAUGACCAAUGGAUCGUCACGGCACGUGGUGGUUGAAACAACUUCGUCGCGUCCUGCCGUUGGCGCACCCACUGUCGGGAGGAGCUCGGACCCCUGCGCGUCUAUAUAGUCGCGCCGACGGCGAAUCGACAGCGACCCCAAGUCA